CCUACGGGAGGCAGCAGUGAGGAAUAUUGGUCAAUGGACGAGAGUCUGAACCAGCCAAGUAGCGUGAAGGAUGACUGCCCUAUGGGUUGUAAACUUCUUUUAUAUGGGAAUAAAAUGUUCCACGUGUGGGAUUUUGUAUGUACCAUAUGAAUAAGGAUCGGCUAACUCCGUGCCAGCCGCCGCGGUAAUACGGAGGAUCCGAGCGUUAUCCGGAUUUAUUGGGUGUAAAGGGAGCGUAGGUGGAUUGUUAAGUCAGUUGUGAAAGUUUGCGGCUCAACCGUAAAAUUGCAGUUGAAACUGGCAGUCUUGAGUACAGUAGAGGUGGGCGGAAUUCGUGGUGUAGCGGUGAAAUGCUUAGAUAUCACGAAGAACUCCGAUUGCGAAGGCAGCUCACUGGACUGCAACUGACACUGAGGCUCGAAAGUGUGGGUAUCAAACAGGAUUAGAUACCCGAGUAGUC
RNAcentral lists this ribosomal RNA (460 nucleotides) under uncultured bacterium. RNAcentral describes it as "partial 16S ribosomal RNA". It matches the Rfam family "Bacterial small subunit ribosomal RNA", at positions 338 to 795 of the family's 1533-position model. The record is from RNAcentral.